AUACGGAGGGUGCAAGCGUUACUCGGAAUCACUGGGCGUAAAGCGCGCGCAGGCGGCUUGAUAAGUUGGAUGUGAAAGCCUACGGCUCAACCGUAGAACUGCAUCCAAAACUGUCAAGCUAGAGUCUGGGAGGGGAAGAUGGAAUUAGUUGUGUAGGGGUAAAAUCCGUAGAGAUAACUAGGAAUACCAAAAGCGAAGGCGAUCUUCUGGGACAUUACUGACGCUGAGGAACGAAAGCGUGGGGAGCAAACAGGAUUAGAAACCCCAGUAGUCC
RNAcentral lists this ribosomal RNA (274 nucleotides) under uncultured bacterium. RNAcentral describes it as "partial 16S ribosomal RNA". It matches the Rfam family "Bacterial small subunit ribosomal RNA", at positions 523 to 796 of the family's 1533-position model. The record is from RNAcentral.